GCCUGCCUGCUCAUCAAUCUAUGAGAAUAGACAUCACCACCUAGCUACCCACCUACCUAUCAAUGCAGGCUUACUGGCUGGCCACCUGCCUGCCUGCCUACCUGCCUAUCUAUCUACUGACCUGCUUGAAUGAAUGACAUCCACUGAUGAUAUCUAUUGAUGAUAUCUAGCGAUGAUAUCUGCAAUGGUGCCUACCAAUGAUGAUAUUGACGAUGAUAUAUAUUGACGCGAUGCUCAUCAACAACUGUGUCAACAAGUCCUCUGAACUUCAAUGUUGUCCUUCCAUGGUAUAUAUCUAAUAAGUGAGAUUAUCACUCCAUGUCAUCUUCAUCUCUUCAAUCAUCUUACCAUGCCAUGCGCCGGGACCAUUUGGAAUCUUCUUUAUGAACAUACAAUCCUCGUCUGCAAUAAUGUCUAUUGAUGAUAUCUAGUGAUGAUGUAUAUUGAUGAUAUAUAUAAUAUCUAAGCGCUUGGCUUUUCUGAGCUUAUUGCUCCGUCUGGCACUCAGCUACAUGUUUCAUGAAGCUCCUGCUAUAUACAUAUAUCUAAUGACUAUUUAUUUAACAGUGCAAUUGCUCCUAGUAGUCAUAUCAGGUAUGGCAAAGGCCAUUCAUGAUUAUAUAGG
This 625-nucleotide small RNA is filed under the name Histoplasma capsulatum. RNAcentral describes it as "hypothetical RNA". Lineage: Eukaryota; Fungi; Ascomycota; Eurotiomycetes; Onygenales; Ajellomycetaceae. RNAcentral also lists the same sequence under 1 other name. The record is from RNAcentral.